AGAAAUUUGCUGAAGAUGCAAAUGUCACCUCCAUUUAUCAGGAAACCGUUGGAAAACAUCACUUCCUGAACCAGUCAUGCCAUCAACGUGGUUUUAAGCUUAUAUUUUCCUUAGUAAGCACGUCAAUCUUGAUGAAAUAUGUUUCUUGAUAUUAUUAACCAUUCCAUUUAGAUCCUGUAAUAAAAAAGCCACAACUCUUGAUAAAAAAAAAA
Molecule: long non-coding RNA, 212 nt
Filed under: Durio zibethinus
Lineage: Eukaryota; Viridiplantae; Streptophyta; Magnoliopsida; Malvales; Malvaceae
Description: long non-coding RNA (DZIB_LNC002230)
Source: RNAcentral